UACGUAGGGAGCAAGCGUUGUCCGGAAUCAUUGGGCGUAAAGCGCGCGUAGGUGGCUUCGUAAGUCCGCUGUGAAAGUCCAGGGCUCAACCCUGGAAAGCGGGUGGAUACUGCCGGGCUAGAAUCCGGAAGAGGCGAGUGGAAUUCCUGGUGUAGCGGUGGAAUGCGCAGAUAUCAGGAGGAACACCAAUAGCGAAGGCAGCUCGCUGGGACGGUAUUGACGCUAAGGCGCGAAAGCGUGGGGAGCAAACAGG
This 253-nucleotide ribosomal RNA is filed under the name uncultured bacterium. RNAcentral's name for it is "partial 16S ribosomal RNA". It matches the Rfam family "Bacterial small subunit ribosomal RNA", at positions 524 to 776 of the family's 1533-position model. The record is from RNAcentral.